RNAcentral lists this ribosomal RNA (521 nucleotides) under Salmonella enterica. Its description in RNAcentral is "partial 23S ribosomal RNA". It matches the Rfam family "Bacterial large subunit ribosomal RNA", at positions 57 to 615 of the family's 2925-position model. The record is from RNAcentral. Lineage: Bacteria; Pseudomonadati; Pseudomonadota; Gammaproteobacteria; Enterobacterales; Enterobacteriaceae.
CGUGCUAAUCUGCGAUAAGCGCCGGUAAGGUGAUAUGAACCGUUAUAACCGGCGAUACCCGAAUGGGGAAACCCAGUGUGACUCGUCACACUAUCAUUAACUGAAUCCAUAGGUUAAUGAGGCGAACCGGGGGAACUGAAACAUCUAAGUACCCCGAGGAAAAGAAAUCAACCGAGAUUCCCCCAGUAGCGGCGAGCGAACGGGGAGGAGCCCAGAGCCUGAAUCAGCAUGUGUGUUAGUGGAAGCGUCUGGAAAGGCGCGCGAUACAGGGUGACAGCCCCGUACACAAAAGCGCAUGUGCUGUGAGCUCGAUGAGUAGGGCGGGACACGUGGUAUCCUGUCUGAAUAUGGGGGGACCAUCCUCCAAGGCUAAAUACUCCUGACUGACCGAUAGUGAACCAGUACCGUGAGGGAAAGGCGAAAAGAACCCCGGCGAGGGGAGUGAAAAAGAACCUGAAACCGUGUACGUACAAGCAGUGGGAGCACAGGUUUACCUGUGUGACUGCGUACCUUUUGUAUAA